This 3625-nucleotide long non-coding RNA is filed under the name Heterocephalus glaber (naked mole-rat). RNAcentral describes it as "lncRNA (ENSHGLG00100044033.1)". Lineage: Eukaryota; Metazoa; Chordata; Mammalia; Rodentia; Bathyergidae. The record is from RNAcentral.
CCAGCAGAAUUAUAAAUCCAGGACCUAAGCUUGGCAGAGACAUCUGGAUUGGUUGUGCACCCAGAAAAGCCUCACUCAGAUGCCAAUUAGAAAGUGCUCCUGAUUUUCUGCCUUGCUGGUAAGGAGAAGCCCUUACCACUCCAGCAGGACCUGGGUACCAAAACUCUAGCAUAGGAGCCUAAGCCUUCUUGCAAGAGGAGAAGUGACAACAAAUUUAAGUAGAGAAGAUGAAUAUCUGCAUGAGCCAAGUGACUGUGAAGAGGGCAAAGAAUUAAUAAUUGUGUAAUAAUGUUACUGAAUACUUACUGUGAGCUGCUUUCUAGAUGACUCCAUGAAUUUGUUUAAAUCUCCAACAAUCCUGCAAAGUAGGUACUGUUAGUAUCAUUCCUUUCUGAUAUAUGAGGAAAUUAAAGCACAGAGAAAAUGAGUAACUGCACCAAUGUCAACAGCUAGGAAGUGACAAGACAAGCUUCAAGUUCGUGCAGUUUGACUCAAAGGACCAUGUUCCUAACCGCUACAUUCUCCUGCCUCUUUCAAGAAAUGCUAGGUCUGCUUAGAGAAUUUGAUUAUUCACUGGAUGUGUAUGGGAAGAGGCAGAGUGAUCAAAUUCCAGGUUGCUGGCAUCAACAAUUGAGGGGACCAAAGAUCCACCAACCAAAGUAGAGCAUUUGGGAGGAAGAACUCUGCAAGGUGUGAGUCUGGGCACGUGGACUUUGCAGUACUGGGAGCGAUGACCCUCUUGGUUACGCAUGAAGAUUCAGAAGUCAGGAAAAGAAAUCUAGUUGUAAAUAUACAUUUCUGUAGUCAGAAUUGAGGUGAUACUUAAUGACAAUGGGACAGUCACUCCAAUCACCCAAGUAGCAUUUGUAGAUAGAGAAGAGAAAAGGGCUAAUCUACAGCAAUGGGAGGCCAGUGUUUAAUGAUCCUGGAAUAAAGGACAUUGAGUGCACAGUUAGAUACCAAAAGCAUCAGGGACACUUGACAUUGAGAAAAUCAAAUGAAUAUAAAUAUAGAAAAUAGAAAUAGAAAAAAUAGAAAUGGAAAAAAAUUAGCCCUUUUUCUUGACUACUCUUACUCUACACUCAGUGCUUUACUCUGAUCAUAAAUAUGUGGUUUAUUUUUCCCAGACUAUUAUCUGUUACCUAGAUAUAGCUGUGGGUCCUAAAACUUAACUCAGUUCUGAUACUGCCCAUCUGGAGAUAGUACAGACUCUACAAAUUAAGUUAUAAUUUGUGGUCUCCACAAUCCUUUUCCUGAGUUUCAAUAUUUUCUAGGAUGACUCGCAGAAAUCAGAGAAACAUAUAUGUUCACCUGUUGAUUAUAAGUGAUAUUACAAAAGACAUAGAUAAACACCCAGAUGAAGAGGUACAUAGGGCAAAGUAUGUGGAAAGGGGUGCAAAUCUUUCACGCCCUGUCCGGUCUCAUUAUCCUAUCAACACCUCUACCUGUACAGCAACCCAAAAGCUGUCUGAACCCUAUAGCUCAAAGACUUUUAUGGAGGCUUCAUGGUGUAAAAAGCACAAUUAACUCAAUCUCCAGCCUCUCUCUCCUUUCUGGAAGAUAGGCAUAGAGCUGAAUGUCCCAAAUUCCUAAUCAGGACUUGAUCCUUUGUCCCCCAUUUAGGAGCUCACUAAGAACCACCUCAUUAGAACACACGUCCCUUCUAUAAAACAGGAAAUGUCAAGAGUUUUAGAAGCUCUGUGCUUGGAACUGUGGGAAGAAACCAAAUAUACAUUUUUUAAUAUAACUCAAUAUAGCAAUAAUCCAGUGAAUUAUCCUGUGAAGGAAGAGAUUGAUCAGUAGUAUCAAAUAGUACAAGGGUCACAAGUAAAUAAAGACAGAAAAGUAGCCACUGGGCUUGACCACAGAAAGUCACUGGUGACUUGUCAAGUACUUUUCAUGGAACAGGGAAAUAGUGAAAGAAGUGAGCAGUGAGUUAUGGGGUAUGCGAGAAGGGAAGGACAUAUAUGUAUAUAUACACACAGUCUUCACUUCACCUGUAUAUGUUUUGUAUGUAUAAAUUUAGAAAGACUAGAAUUGAAAUACAUGUAUGAGUAUGAAUAUUAACAAUGGGAAACAAAACAGGAAGCUUUAAAGUAAAAUACAGCAAUGAAGAACUAUGGAUGAUAUUUUAUGUGUUUUUGUUUGAUAAGUUGAUUUCUAAGUGGAAGAGACUUGAAAACAUUUAGAUCAAAGGAAAAGAGACAGAAAAGAAGGGAAUAACAGAAGGAUCAAAAGUCCAAAAGAAAUGGGAAUGAUAAGCCUUGAACAGAAUGGUCACAUGGUUAUAGAGAUUACCAAAUACCCCAUAUGGAUUUAGACAUAAGCACAGUUUAUUCACACCUGAUCAUCUCCUUAUUCUUUGAGAAGUAGAAAACAAGAGACACAGGAAAACAUAAUUAAAUAAAUGAUUGGUUUGAAAUACCUUCUUUGGGGAUAUUGGGUGCAAAUUCUCCAAGAACUAAAGGAAAAAUUUGCCAAACAGAAUUUAAAGUCCACCUUAUAUUGGAAACUCCACGUUUCUAAUGAUGUCAGCCUUCAUGGCUAUACAAGUUUCUUCAGUUCUACUCAGACAUACAUGUUUAGGGGCAGGGAAUGGAGAUUGGAGGAUGAAUUUGGAGGUAGUUUUAUAUAAAAAAGUAGGAGCAAAAAUGUUAAGAUUGCAAAUGAAUAGUUCAUAGUAUCAACUGUGGAUUUUAUAGUUGAUGAAAAGAGAAUGAAAAGGUAGUUGGUAGAUGAAAGAAAAAUGAGACAUUCAAGAGACUAGAGACAUCAGUGAGAUUGGCAAGCAACUAUGAUAAAUAGUAAGUAAAAGAGCUAGAACAAUUGUUUUGGCAGAAAAGGAGACAAUGAAUUAGAAGUUUUCAUGCAAAGAAAAGAGGCAGAUGAAAAGAAAAGGUAGGAUGUAGUCAUAUAAGAGUGGAAGCUAUAUUCAGUUGGGUUGUGAAGGUCAAGAAACUUAGAAGCUAUUGUGUUAGGUGAACUCUCUGAGAAUGGUGAAAUAUCCCUCAGAGUGGGCUGCAGGGGAAGGAUCUAGAUGCCUAAUGAAAUUUGGUUUCCAUUCAUUUGAUGAGCUAAGGAAGCUCUGGAGUCUGUGGAAAUUUCUCACUUCUUUUCCACACCAGGGUUACACUCUUCUUCCACUGCCUCUUUAACUGAGUCCAUGGCUUCUCUAUUGCUUGGGCUGUUAUCUCUCCAAAUCUGCCUAAAGAGUGAAGCUCAGCCUUUCCAGUUCUCAUGUCCCUGCUGAUCCUGAAGACAAGUCUGUGGGCCCUUUGUUUCUGAGAGUUUCAUUGCUGACUGCUGUCAGAAACAGAAGUGGAAGUGACAGGUACCAAAUGUAGCUGCAGUUUGCAGAAUCUUACACCAUUUUCUCUAGCAUAGUCUCUGGGUAUAUUUUUUGACUCCUUUCUGGCAGGUAUGAUAGAAGCACAUGGAACUUGAUUUGUCUUUGCUUUCCUAAAUGUAAGGUUCAGCAAACCACAACCCUCAGACUGUCCUUCCUCUAUCCCUGAGGACAGGCUAAACUCUACCUGUUUUAUGAUGCAUAAAACCAGAGACAUUUUCAAAAUGUAAUAGAUCUUUGUGCUUCUACAACUGAAAUUAAACAGAAAUUAACAUGUUU